Molecule: non-coding RNA, 4646 nt
Organism: Triticum urartu
Lineage: Eukaryota; Viridiplantae; Streptophyta; Magnoliopsida; Poales; Poaceae
Source: RefSeq, a predicted model, not a curated record
CAGUCCGCUAUCCUCCCCUUCGUCUUAUCCAUUCUGUCCUACGCCGGCGGCUUCACCCAUUCCGUCGUGCGCCGGCGGCCGCCGUGCCUCGCGCGGGAGGAUGGAGGACGUUCUCUGGGGCGUGUGCGGUGGAGACGGCGCGACGAGGUGGGGCAGUGUCGGUGGUUGUCCGGCCGUCGUGCCUCGCAUCGGGAGGAUGGACGACGCUCGCCGGGGCGUGUGCGGCGGAGACGGCCUCUGCCGCGCAUCCAGGUGGAGCAGCGGCGUUGGUUGUCGUCCAACAUGAGGAGGCAGAGGCGGCCAAGGCAAUGAGGCACCGGCGUCGGCUAGCGAAGUGGCGGCCGGAGCAGAGGACGACGGGAAGGCAAGGGGGCACGGGCGUCGGAUAUUCAAGGGGCUGCCGGACGAGAGGACGAUGGGAGACAGUCGACGAUGGAUGCGGAGGUGUUUGCAUCAGGUAGGAGCAGAGGCGACGGCGAAGUGGCUUGGGCUUCAGCAGUCGUUCUUCUGGUGGAGGGAGAGCAUGCCCGGAGGAGGCAGGGUGAGUACGCUGUGCACGAGAGCCGGCCGCGAGGUCUCUGUGAGCUGUUCGCCACUGCCAGUCGUCUCCGGCCUGCACCACAUAAAUUAAUUGAGUCCCGACCCGGAUUGGAGUUCUCUGCUAUAAGAAGGAAGUGUUCUUGGCCGGAAUCUCCAUCAGCAAAUCCAUCAAAUCCAGGAAUUCUUGGUCCAGAGAAGCAUCAUGUCGCCUUUGAGUUCGCCGAAGGAAGACGCACCGAGUUCGCCGGAGGUAGAAGAACGUUUGUCGAUCCAUCCAAUAUCGCCCUUUCUUCUUGAGAUUGGUUGUAGCUAAUGUUCUGUUACCGUUCAGGAUACUGAAUUUCCUCCUGCUGGUAUCAUCGUCUCCCUGUAAUGUGAUGUAGCACAUUACUAUGCACUUCAGCACUAAGCCCAGAACCUAGCUAGCUUACUUGAGGGUCGGCUCCGGAGUUUGUCGAUUGUGUUUGUGUACAAUUUGUGAGGGGCUGUAGAGAGUCAAUUAACAAGUCAAUUAAUACGAACAUCUUUUUCUCUACGGUCCUCUGAAUAUGAGAUAUGGAUGCCAUAACUUGGUACUAAUUGCAGCAUCCUAAUCAUGCAUGUUGGUGAAAAAAAUAUGCUGACCACUGAUGCACUGUAUGUGACAUAUAUUAGGCAGUAAUACAGUGCAUUGAUUCAGAAUUGACAGUGGCUGCUGUUGUUGAGAGAGCAGUAGGGAACAAUAGAAAGUAAGAGAAACUGAGAGGAAGUUACUGCUAUGUGCAUGUAUGUUGUUGCUGCGAGUUGUCUCACUCUCAGGAGAGAAAUAGAGAGAAGUGGAGUCAAAGUGAUAGGGAUUGAGAGUCAGAUGCUUUUUGUGCAGCUAUUGUGCUUCUGAUUAUAUUGGGGUGUCGUAGCAGUUUAUACUUUGUACAGGGUUGACUGCCUAAUGCUACUUUUGAGUUUUGAUUAUGAUUGUUAGAUUUUAUUUAGUAACUGCUAAUUGCUAGAGAGAACAGAGAGGAGUGUAUGUAGUGAUUGUCAUUGCUUCAUGCCCCUAGAUAUCUAUGCUGCUGCUGAAAUAGCGGUUGAGAAUUAUGAGCACUGAAAAAGUUGUCAAAUUGACUGACUGCCUUGUGAAAAAGUAGCAAGAACGAACUCAGGAAAUUUUGCAAACGGUAUCAGCAUUGGUUUGUGUGGUACUGUGGAUGUUUCUCUUGCAAGUCUAAGUUUUAGACAAAAAUAUCCUGUACUUGUUUGGGUAAUGUUUUUUUUGUUAGACCAACAAGCCUUGAACUAGAUUGGUUGAAGCAGCCUACAUACAUAUUACAGUUUCGCAUUUUAAAUUUGAAGACCAAGGCAAUGCCCGAUUGAUGUAACUGGAGGUGAAUGUCUGUUUUCUUGUUUGUAUUUAAUCUUAGAAAACAGAAUCUCAUCAAGUGAAAACCCGUAGGCAUUGCAGUCCAAUUGUUCUAGGGAUUGGAACCAGACGUGUGACUGAAUACUGCUUGGAACAUGUGAUUCUGCAAAGUUUACGCACAUGCACCUUCUUGGAUGAUACAACUUCUCUAUGUUUGUACCUCCUCACCAUUCAAAUUUUACAAACUUUAUGAGUAAAAAGUAGAAAGUAAUGUUCUCACUUCUCUUUUUUAUGACCUUCAUUAUUUCAGUCUCAGCAACAUCCAGGAGAUGUACCUAUGUAGCUACUGUUAGUUCAAAAGCUUUAUUUCACAAGUUGGCAACACGAUAUUCAGGUGGAAGACCUUUGCAAUCUUAUCAAGCUUUACGCCAAACGGGCACUCUUACUUGAUCCCUUAUUACUCCUUCGAACAAUUUGUGCGCAAGGUUGAGGAAGUUGGGGCCAGUAAUCAUGUUAGAAUAAACUUCUUUCUUCCUCUAAGAGUUUGUUUCCAUACUGUGGGGCAGCAGGAUCUGAGUCCCACUAUGAGGGAUCGACCUUCAGAGAUCAGCUACCGGCGUCAUAAUGCCCCCGCAAGCCUCAAGAAAGUUAGAGUCUCUCUGUAUCUUCAAAUUGGCUGUUGAUUGAUGAGCAAAGGUUGAUUUGAGCAUCUAUAUCUGCACCACAUGGAAGCCUCCUCUUUGAUUUUAGCAACAAUCACUCCCACUGGCACCGCGGUAUUGCGAAAAAGACGAGCAUUCCUCUCCUUCCAGAUUUACCACGAGAUAAGCAUCAUUAAAGAGCAUGAUAGUUCUUCUCUCCUCAAGUCUCAAAUCCGUUUUUCAUCACCCUUUGGUAUGUUUCGUGGGGAUCUUUUUUAUUCAGCUCAUAAAUGCUGAUUAGUUCAUGUGUUUAGAAGUAAGAGGUGCAGCAUGCCAGCCGUCCUCAAAGGAGUAGUAGAGCAGAGGAUCUUCUUAGCGAUUUGGAUGUACAGAGUUUAUAUGAUACAAAGACCUAUUUUAUUUUUGUACUGGCUCUUGAAUUUUUCUCCUUUAAUUUCUAUCUCCGAACCCUUCUGAUAUGUUCUUUACUCCUGAUUUCAGCCUUUUAAGGUCUGUUCUUCUUCUGGGAUUGCAGAGAGCAUGGACCACCGUAUGGAAGAAGGAGAUGCCAUCCUUGACUGUCGUUGUCUUUGGCGUGUUGCUGCCAUUUUUCUAAUCCAUCUAGGUCAUGCCUUCUAACUUGCAUUACUUACUAGAUCUUGUUGUAUAUGAUGAUCUGUUGUCAGCUAUGCAAAGGUUCUGAUUUUAAGACUUUGUCAAGUUCAGUUCAGAUUUAAUUUUACUCCACCUCUUUUUGCAUGGACAAUGUGUGUGGUGUUUAGACGAUCACUAUGUGAAAUUCAUAGGCAUUGUGAGAGCAUGGAGAAAGGAUUCGAGUUUGAUUCUUUUUUCAGGGUUCAGAACUGUUACCAACUACACCUAUACACGUGGAAAACUUAAACUUGGCAGUCCAAAAUUAAGCAGCAAACUUUAUUGCUGGUCAGCUAAAAAUUCAGUGACAACUGCUGACACACGAGCUUCAUUUUUUAUUAGAGAUAGUAGAUGAUGCAGAUGACAGUUCUACCUCUCUAACUGAAACAAGAACUUUCUGACCAAAGGCAUACCUACAAGACAGGGGCAUACCUGCAGGACAACAGGAGGUCCUCAGGCACGCAUCAGUACUAGCAUAUUGAUACGUAGUGUGUGUGUUUUAGCAUAUUAGUACUAGCAUACCUGCAGGAGGUCCUAAGUUUCUUCAGUUCUAUACAAAUUUGAGUUGGUCUGUAGUGUUGAGAGGAUCCUAAAAUAUUGUAUACAUAAUCUCUUUCCGGGUUCUUGAAAACUUGCACUCUUCUGUUGAAUUUCGCAUUUUGGUUGAUCUGUACUGCAUCUUUUAUUGUUGUCAGCCUAGAAUUAUAUCGCAUUUUGUUCUUGUAUGGGCAGAUUCAUAAUUAUGCCUUAAUACUAAUUUGACUGCAUGAUUUAAUUAGUGGCUGCAAUAUUAUUUCAUGGUCCACAACAGAACUGAAGGUGCCAAAAUGAAACUUUCUUCUUCUCAUGUAUCAAAGUAUUAAGCAACCAAAUUUUUUAGUAUCUAAAUUGUUAUGUGUAGGAUGAUAACAGAGAGUGUUGUCUUGAAGAUCCUUUUAGAUUUCUACUAGGCGGCCUUUGUAUAUACAGAUAUUCCAGUUUAUUAAUUAAUGCUACCAGCGGUGGUUUGGAUUGGCUCAUGACCAUUAUAUGUGAGAACUAAGGGGUCUAUUCUUUCUUUCUUUUUUGCGAAAAAGGGGGUCUAUUCUUUUAACCAUGAACCAAUUUAAGUAGCAAGUCUGUUUUUUAUCGGUUAGUUGUAUCAUUGUUCUCCAACACUAAGCACUAAUCGAUAUAACCAGCCAUGAUCAUCCAUCCAUCGGUUUAGUUUGUUUUUUCUUUUGUUAGUUCUAGCUAACUGAAAUCUGUCUGAAGCUUUGAACCUUAACAACGCCCGUGAUUUGAGUCUUGGUGCUUGUGAAUUCUGAAUGAAGUACAAGCAGCCAAUCUUUCUGAAUGAAUUUGUUGAUGAUUUGCAUGGUUAUUCUUCAUUCUGGGUGCAUGGCUAUUCUUGGGUUUGAGCCUUAGGCAUGCAGCAAUUAGAUCUAAUUGCACUGUUUUGUGGGCCAUUUGAACUGAAAGCAUUCGUCAAUUUU